This 497-nucleotide ribosomal RNA is filed under the name uncultured bacterium. RNAcentral's name for it is "partial 16S ribosomal RNA". It matches the Rfam family "Bacterial small subunit ribosomal RNA", at positions 28 to 507 of the family's 1533-position model. The record is from RNAcentral.
GAUGAACGCUGGCGGCGUGCCUAAUACAUGCAAGUCGAGCGAACAGACGAGGAGCUUGCUCCUCUGACGUUAGCGGCGGACGGGUGAGUAACACGUGGAUAACCUACCUAUAAGACUGGGAUAACUUCGGGAAACCGGAGCUAAUACCGGAUAAUAUAUUGAACCGCAUGGUUCAAUAGUGAAAGACGGUUUUGCUGUCACUUAUAGAUGGAUCCGCGCCGCAUUAGCUAGUUGGUAAGGUAACGGCUUACCAAGGCAACGAUGCGUAGCUGACCUGAGAGGAGGAGCCGCCACAAUGGGACUUAGACACGGUCCAGACUCCUACGGGAGGCAGCAGGGGGGAAUAUUGGACAAUGGGCGCGAGCCUGAUCCAGCCAUACCGCGUGAGUGAAGAAGGCCUUCGGGUUGUAAAGCCCUUUUGGUGGGAAAGAAAAGCAGCCCGCUAAUACCCCGCUGUCCUGGCGGUACCUAAAGAAUAAGCAACGGCUAACUUCGUG